This 504-nucleotide ribosomal RNA is filed under the name uncultured bacterium. Its description in RNAcentral is "partial 16S ribosomal RNA". It matches the Rfam family "Bacterial small subunit ribosomal RNA", at positions 29 to 523 of the family's 1533-position model. The record is from RNAcentral.
AUUGAACGCUGGCGGCAUGCCUUACACAUGCAAGUCGAACGGCAGCAUGGAGAGCUUGCUCUCUGAUGGCGAGUGGCGAACGGGUGAGUAAUACAUCGGAACGUGUCCGUUUGUGGGGGACAACCGUCCGAAAGGAUGGCUAAUACCGCAUAAGACCUGAGGGUGAAAGCCGGGGACCGCAAGGCCCGGCGCAGACGGAGCGGCCGAUGAUUGAUUAGCUGGUUGGGGAGGUAAAGGCUCACCAAGGCGACGAUCAAUAGCUGGUCUGAGAGGACGACCAGCCACACUGGAACUGAGACACGGUCCAGACUCCUACGGGAGGCAGCAGUGGGGAAUUUUGGACAAUGGGGGCAACCCUGAUCCAGCCAUGCCGCGUGCGGGAAGAAGGCCUUCGGGUUGUAAACCGCUUUUGUCAGGGACGAAAAGCUCCGGAGUAAUAUGCCGGAGUGCUGACGGUACCUGAAGAAUAAGCACCGGCUAACUACGUGCCAGCCGCCGCCGUAA